Molecule: ribosomal RNA, 429 nt
Filed under: Pseudomonadota bacterium
Lineage: Bacteria; Pseudomonadati; Pseudomonadota
Description: Proteobacteria bacterium partial 16S ribosomal RNA
Rfam family: Bacterial small subunit ribosomal RNA
Source: RNAcentral
UGGGGAAUAUUGGACAAUGGGCGAAAGCCUGAGCCAGCCAUGCCGCGUGUGUGAAGAAGGUCUUCGGAUUGUAAAGCACUUUAAGUUGGGAGGAAGGGCAGUAAGCGAAUACCUUGCUGUUUUGACGUUACCGACAGAAUAAGCACCGGCUAACUCUGUGCCAGCAGCCGCGGUAAUACAGAGGGUGCAAGCGUUAAUCGGAAUUACUGGGCGUAAAGCGCGCGUAGGUGGUUCGUUAAGUUGAAUGUGAAAGCCCCGGGCUCAACCUGGGAACUGCAUCCAAAACUGGCGAGCUAGAGUAGGGCAGAGGGUGGUGGAAUUUCCUGUGUAGCGGUGAAAUGCGUAGAUAUAGGAAGGAACACCAGUGGCGAAGGCGACCACCUGGGCUCAUACUGACACUGAGGUGCGAAAGCGUGGGGAGCAAACAGG